GACGAACGCUGGCGGCGUGCCUAAUACAUGCAAGUCGAGCGGACUUUCAAGAAGCUUGCUUUUUGAAAGUUAGCGGCGGACGGGUGAGUAACACGUGGGCAACCUGCCUGUAAGACGGGGAUAACUCCGGGAAACCGGGGCUAAUACCUGAUAAUAUCUUUCUUCGCAUGAAGGAAGGUUGAAAGGCGGCGCAAGCUGCCGCUUGCAGAUGGGCCCGCGGCGCAUUAGCUAGUUGGUGAGGUAACGGCUCACCAAGGCGACGAUGCGUAGCCGACCUGAGAGGGUGAUCGGCCACACUGGGACUGAGACACGGCCCAGACUCCCACGGGAGGCAGCAGUAGGGAAUCUUCCGCAAUGGACGAAAGUCUGACGGAGCAACGCCGCGUGAGCGAAGAAGGUCUUCGGAUCGUAAGCUCUGUUGUCAGGGAAGAACAAGUACCGUUCGAAUAGGGCGGUACCUUGACGGUACCUGACCAGAAAGCCAUGGCUAACUACGUGCCAGCAGCCGCCGUAA
This 514-nucleotide ribosomal RNA is filed under the name uncultured bacterium. RNAcentral's name for it is "partial 16S ribosomal RNA". It matches the Rfam family "Bacterial small subunit ribosomal RNA", at positions 28 to 523 of the family's 1533-position model. The record is from RNAcentral.